CUUGUGUCAACUAGCCACAUCUAGGCAAAAUAUUGUGACAUCUACGUAAGUGCCUACGUACAGCGUGUUGACAUUCUGCAAGGUACUUCGUGUGUAUAAAACCUGGAAUAGUGUUAAUUAGCUAUCAGUUCUUCAUCAGUUGUGGAUUCAGAAGCCAGUCAUACAAACAUGAAAUACUUCUUUGUUCUGACAGCUAUAUUAGCAGUGUUCAUGCUGCACACAAAUGCACAAAGAUGCGAUUGUCCCGACGACUUCGUGCCUGUCUGCGCCAGAGACAUGCGGACGUACCCUAAUGAAUGCACGAUGGUCUGCGCGAGGCAGCAGAAGUUGUAUGACGGAGAGUGCAGAAGACAGUCGCCCAUCAAAUAACAUUCUUUAACUCAAGAAGAACAUUACCUAAUAAGAAAUUAUAAUCAUUUCUAUUCUCUUCAGACCACCUAAUAGUUUUAGUAAACAAAUGCGAAUGAGAUACCUUCAAACCUUAAAGAAAAGAGCGUAUUCUUUUGUCUAUUGAGUUACAGCUAACAAUAUUUUUAUUGAUAUUUAGUUAUCUAUAUUAUCUUUCAUAAGCCGCCGUACUCAUAGUCAUUUAAUGUCUAAUUCUUAACCCAGCCCUUAGCAAAUAUCUUCGGAACAAAAUCGUUGCUAAGGAAUUGUUUAACGAAUUAUGAAAUAUCUCUGAGUAUGACAGAAAGAUAACUUUACCAUGUUUAGUGAUAUUUAUAUUUAAUUUAUUUUUUUUAUGAUUUAAGCCGGUAAACGAGCAUAGGGUUCACCACAUGGUAAGCAAUGAGUGUCGUCCAUGGAUACCUAAAACACCAGAGGCGUUACAAGAGUGUUACCGGCAUUUUGGAAAUUGGGAAUAUGAGGAUUG
Spodoptera litura is the source of this 874-nucleotide non-coding RNA. Lineage: Eukaryota; Metazoa; Arthropoda; Insecta; Lepidoptera; Noctuidae. The record is from RefSeq and is a predicted model, not a curated record.